Molecule: ribosomal RNA, 531 nt
Filed under: Escherichia coli
Lineage: Bacteria; Pseudomonadati; Pseudomonadota; Gammaproteobacteria; Enterobacterales; Enterobacteriaceae
Description: partial 23S ribosomal RNA
Rfam family: Bacterial large subunit ribosomal RNA
Source: RNAcentral
GGGGACCAUCCUCCAAGGCUAAAUACUCCUGACUGACCGAUAGUGAACCAGUACCGUGAGGGAAAGGCGAAAAGAACCCCGGCGAGGGGAGUGAAAAAGAACCUGAAACCGUGUACGUACAAGCAGUGGGAGCCUCUUAAUGGGGUGACUGCGUACCUUUUGUAUAAUGGGUCAGCGACUUAUAUUCUGUAGCAAGGUUAACCGAAUAGGGGAGCCGAAGGGAAACCGAGUCUUAACUGGGCGUUAAGUUGCAGGGUAUAGACCCGAAACCCGGUGAUCUAGCCAUGGGCAGGUUGAAGGUUGGGUAACACUAACUGGAGGACCGAACCGACUAAUGUUGAAAAAUUAGCGGAUGACUUGUGGCUGGGGGUGAAAGGCCAAUCAAACCGGGAGAUAGCUGGUUCUCCCCGAAAGCUAUUUAGGUAGCGCCUCGUGAAUUCAUCUCCGGGGGUAGAGCACUGUUUCGGCAAGGGGGUCAUCCCGACUUACCAACCCGAUGCAAACUGCGAAUACCGGAGAAUGUUAUCACGG